CCUGGCAGCGAUAGCGCGGUGGUCCCACCUGACCCCAUGCCGAACUCAGAAGUGAAACGCCGUAGCGCCGAUGGUAGUGUGGGGUCUCCCCAUGCGAGAGUAGGGAACUGCCAGGU
This 116-nucleotide ribosomal RNA is filed under the name Hafnia alvei. The record is from RNAcentral. Lineage: Bacteria; Pseudomonadati; Pseudomonadota; Gammaproteobacteria; Enterobacterales; Hafniaceae.